Molecule: ribosomal RNA, 1386 nt
Filed under: Triticum aestivum (bread wheat)
Lineage: Eukaryota; Viridiplantae; Streptophyta; Magnoliopsida; Poales; Poaceae
Description: partial small subunit ribosomal RNA
Source: RNAcentral
AUGGUGAAGUUCACCGCACGCCGGAGCAUACCCGAGCUGGUGGCGCCGGCACGGCCAACACCACGCGAGACCAAGAUCCUCUCCGACGUCGACGACUGUUAUGACCUACGAGUAUACUCUUUUGUGAUCAAGUUCUUCCACUGCCGACCAGGCGGCCAUCCGACGACGACGCCGGCGAAGGCCGUCAAGGCGGCGCUCGCGGAGUCUCUAGUGUACUAUCAUCCCAUUGCCGGUCGGCUGAGGGAGGUCCCCGGAAACAAGCUGGUGGUAGAUUGUACCGGAGAGGGAGCGGUGUUCGUGGAAGCAUCGGCCGACGCGGGCCUGGAAGAGUUUGGACAUCCACCACUGCGGCCACCGUACCCAUGCGUCGAGGAACUCUUAUGCGAUGCAGGCGAUACGACAGUCGUGGUCGGCAAGCCCUUGUUCUUCAUCCAAGUAACAGAAUUAAUAGGCGGAGGGUUCGUACUUGGUUUUCAGGUAUGCCAUAGCAUCUUCGACGGCUUCGGAAUGAUCCAGUUCAUAAAAAGCAUAGGUGAUCUUGCACGUGGCGAGGUGCAACCGGCAGUGCUACCCGUGUGGGAGAGGCAUAUUCUGAUGGCACGCACUCCUCCCCGCAUCACCGACAUCGACCCCGCAUACUCACCGGUCCUAACUGGCUCCGAGUACGAUGUCAAUAGGAUUGUCAAUGACGUUAUGCUAUCAACGGCAGUCGAGAGCAUGGUGCACAAGUACUUGCUCUUCAGUCCGAGAGAUAUAACUCAUUUACGAGGGUAUAUCGUCCCAUCGCUUCUCACCAAACCCGCCACCGCCUUCGAGCUUCUCACUGCUGUAAUGUGGCGCUGUCAGACGAUAGCGCUCGGCUACGAGGUCGAUACAAAAGUACGCCUCAUCUUUACGCUCAAUGCCCGUGGGAGAUGGAAGCAUGAUUUGCCCAUCCCACGGGAAUACUACGGAAACACCCUUGUGUACACCAUAGCGGAGAUCACGGUAGGUGACCUAUGCGGGAAGCCACUCGGCCACAUUGUGGAGCUAAUUCGUAAGGCCAAGACUGACAUGUUGCUGGAGCGGAUGCGGUCAAUGGUGGAUAUGAUGGCACUAUUGCGUGGGCGGCCGACUUUGCCCGCGCAACAAGUCUACUGGGUGACAGACAAUAGUCACAUUGGAGGUGACACAGUGGACUUUGGGUGGGCAGAGUGGGUUGGUGGUGAAAUGCCAGUCCCGAAGCUAUCAAGCUUCCACACUAGAUGCAAGGAUAUACAUGGGGAGGAAUCAAUCACGGUGUCAGUCUUAUUGCCAGGGUUGGUGAUGGAGAAGUUUGCUAGUGAGAUCGCCUCCUGGUUGAACAAGGACAACGGAGGCAACUACUUUACACCUAGCUCCCUCUAG